AGCAGCCGCGGUAAUUCCAGCUCCAAUAGCGUAUAUUAAAGUUGUUGCAGUUAAAAAGCUCGUAGUUGAAUUUUAGGCCUGGCCGGGCGGUCCGUCUUUGGCGAGUACUGUCUGUUGUCGGGUCUUCCUUCUGGUGAACCAAUAUGUCCUUUAUUGGGUGUGCUGGGGAGCCAGGACCAUUACCUUGAAAAAAUUAGAGUGUUUAAAGCAGGCUUUUGCUUGAAUAGAUUAGCAUGGAAUAAUAGAAUAGGACGUUGUGGUUCUAUUUUGUUGGUUUCUAGGACCACCGUAAUGAUUAAUAGGGAUAGUUGGGGGCAUUAGUAUUCAAUUGUCAGAGGUGAAAUUCUUGGAUUUAUUGAAGACUAACUAUUGCGAAAGCAUUUGCCAAGGAUGUUUUCAUUAAUCAAGAACGAAAGUUAGGGGAUCGAAGACGAUCAGAUACCGUCGUAGUCUUAACCAUAAACUAUGCCGACUAGGAAUCCGGCGACGUUAUUUUAAUGACUCGCUCGGCGCCUUAUGG
RNAcentral lists this ribosomal RNA (520 nucleotides) under uncultured Archaeospora. RNAcentral's name for it is "SSU rRNA". It matches the Rfam family "Eukaryotic small subunit ribosomal RNA", at positions 569 to 1093 of the family's 1831-position model. Lineage: Eukaryota; Fungi; Glomeromycota; Glomeromycetes; Archaeosporales; Archaeosporaceae. The record is from RNAcentral.